Cavia aperea (Brazilian guinea pig) is the source of this 114-nucleotide small nuclear RNA. Its record names the gene U5. It matches the Rfam family "U5 spliceosomal RNA". From Rfam's summary of the family: U5 RNA is a component of both types of known spliceosome. The precise function of this molecule is unknown, though it is known that the 5' loop is required for splice site selection and p220 binding, and that both the 3' stem-loop and the Sm site are important for Sm protein binding and cap methylation. The record is from Ensembl. Lineage: Eukaryota; Metazoa; Chordata; Mammalia; Rodentia; Caviidae.
AUACUCGAGUUUCUCCUCAAAUCGUAUAAAUCUUUCGCCUUUUACUAAAGAUUUCCGUGGAGAGAAACAAUUGAGCUUUAAGCAAAUUUUUUGAAGCCUUGUUUGAACAAGGCA